GUAUAAAAACUUUAUGGGCACUAAAAGGGCCCAGAUCAACAUUCUAUUACAUUCAUAGGAGUAUGUGAAUAACAUAGAACCUAGAGAGACAAGGGAAAGCUGGCCCUUCAUUCAAAAGGCACAGCAGUCCCCAAAAAAUCUAUCAAGACAAUUCUCCAAGGUCUACAAAAAGGUGCACAGGUGGAAAAACAAAAAUAACGACAAGCGUGCACAUUACUCUAGAAGAGCCAGCAACAGCCUAUCAAAUGUUUUAUUCAAUAAUGAUCCUUCCGCAGGUUCACCUACGGAAA
Molecule: unclassified non-coding RNA, 290 nt
Filed under: uncultured fungus
Lineage: Eukaryota; Fungi
Description: sequence contains ITS1
Source: RNAcentral